UACGUAGGGACCGAGCGUUGUCCGGAAUCAUUGGGCGUAAAGAGCGUGUAGGCGGCUCGAUAAGUCUGCUGUGAAAGUCCAGGGCUCAACCCUGGGAUGCCGGUCGAUACUGCCGGACUAGAGUUCGGAAGAGGCGAGUGGAAUUCCCGGUGUAGCGGUGAAAUGCGCAGAUAUCGGGAGGAACACCAAUGGCGAAGGCAGCUCGCUGGGACGUUACUGACGCUGAGACGCGAAAGCGUGGGGAGCAAACAGG
This 253-nucleotide ribosomal RNA is filed under the name uncultured bacterium. RNAcentral describes it as "partial 16S ribosomal RNA". It matches the Rfam family "Bacterial small subunit ribosomal RNA", at positions 524 to 776 of the family's 1533-position model. The record is from RNAcentral.